RNAcentral lists this ribosomal RNA (392 nucleotides) under Salmonella enterica. Its description in RNAcentral is "partial 23S ribosomal RNA". It matches the Rfam family "Bacterial large subunit ribosomal RNA", at positions 1 to 432 of the family's 2925-position model. Lineage: Bacteria; Pseudomonadati; Pseudomonadota; Gammaproteobacteria; Enterobacterales; Enterobacteriaceae. The record is from RNAcentral.
GGUUAAGCGACUAAGCGUACACGGUGGAUGCCCUGGCAGUCAGAGGCGAUGAAGGGCGUGCUAAUCUGCGAUAAGCGCCGGUAAGGUGAUAUGAACCGUUAUAACCGGCGAUACCCGAAUGGGGAAACCCAGUGUGAUUCGUCACACUAUCAUUAACUGAAUCCAUAGGUUAAUGAGGCGAACCGGGGGAACUGAAACAUCUAAGUACCCCGAGGAAAAGAAAUCAACCGAGAUUCCCCCAGUAGCGGCGAGCGAACGGGGAGGAGCCCAGAGCCUGAAUCAGCAUGUGUGUUAGUGGAAGCGUCUGGAAAGGCGCGCGAUACAGGGUGACAGCCCCGUACACAAAAGCGCAUGUGCUGUGAGCUCGAUGAGUAGGGCGGGACACGUGGUAU